AGACGGAGGGUCCUAGCGUUGUUCGGAAUAACUGGGCGUAAAGGGUACGUAGGCGGUUUGGUCAGUUAGAUGUGAAAGCCCAGGGCUCAACCUUGGAACUGCAUUUAAUACUGCCAGACUUGAGAUCGGAAGAGGAAAGCGGAAUUCCUAGUGUAGAGGUGAAAUUCGUAGAUAUUAGGAGGAACAUCAGAGGCGAAGGCGGCUUUCUGGUCCGAUACUGACGGUGAGGGGCGAAAGCCGGGGGAGCAAACCGGAUUAGAUACCCGAGUAGUCC
RNAcentral lists this ribosomal RNA (274 nucleotides) under uncultured bacterium. RNAcentral's name for it is "partial 16S ribosomal RNA". It matches the Rfam family "Bacterial small subunit ribosomal RNA", at positions 523 to 796 of the family's 1533-position model. The record is from RNAcentral.